Molecule: ribosomal RNA, 491 nt
Filed under: uncultured bacterium
Lineage: Bacteria
Description: partial 16S ribosomal RNA
Rfam family: Bacterial small subunit ribosomal RNA
Source: RNAcentral
GUGCACGCUGGCGGUAGGCCUAACACCUGCCAGUCGAACGGCAGCACAGUAAGAGCUUGCUCUUACGGGUGGCGAGUGGCGGACGGGUGAGGAAUACAUCGGAAUCUACUUUUUCGUGGGGGAUAACGUAGGGACACUUACGCUAAUACCGCAUACGACCUACGGGUGAAAGCAGGGGAUCUUCGGACCUUGCGCGAUUGAAUGAGCCGAUGUCGGAUUAGCUAGUUGGCGGGGUAAAGGCCCACCAAGGCGACGAUCCGUAGCUGGUCUGAGAGGAUGAUCAGCCACACUGGAACUGAGACACGGUCCAGACUCCUACGGGAGGCAGCAGUGGGGAAUAUUGGACAAUGGGCGCAAGCCUGAUCCAGCCAUACCGCGUGGGUGAAGAAGGCCUUCGGGUUGUAAAGCCCUUUUGUUGGGAAAGAAAAGCAGCAGGUUAAUACCCCGCUGUUCUGACGGUACCCAAAGAAUAAGCACCGGCUAACUUCGUG